CCUACGGGGGGCAGCAGUAGGGAAUCUUCGGCAAUGGACGAAAGUCUGACCGAGCAACGCCGCGUGAGUGAAGAAGGUUUUCGGAUCGUAAAACUCUGUUGUUAGAGAAGAACAAGGAUGAGAGUAACUGUUCAUCCCUUGACGGUAUCUAACCAGAAAGCCACGGCUAACUACGUGCCAGCAGCCGCGGUAAUACGUAGGUGGCAAGCGUUGUCCGGAUUUAUUGGGCGUAAAGCGAGCGCAGGCGGUUUCUUAAGUCUGAUGUGAAAGCCCCCGGCUCAACCGGGGAGGGUCAUUGGAAACUGGGAGACUUGAGUGCAGAAGAGGAGAGUGGAAUUCCAUGUGUAGCGGUGAAAUGCGUAGAUAUAUGGAGGAACACCAGUGGCGAAGGCGGCUCUCUGGUCUGUAACUGACGCUGAGGCUCGAAAGCGUGGGGAGCAAACAGGAUUAGAUACCCGGGUAGUC
Molecule: ribosomal RNA, 465 nt
Filed under: uncultured Enterococcus sp.
Lineage: Bacteria; Bacillati; Bacillota; Bacilli; Lactobacillales; Enterococcaceae
Description: bacterial SSU rRNA
Rfam family: Bacterial small subunit ribosomal RNA
Source: RNAcentral